CAGUAGCCGCGGGAAUACGAAGGGGGCUAGCGUUGCUCGGAAUCACUGGGCGUAAAGCGCACGUAGGCGGAUCGUUAAGUCAGAGGUGAAAGCCUGGAGCUCAACUCCAGAACUGCCUUUGAUACUGGCGAUCUCGAGUCCGGAAGAGGUAAGUGGAACUGCGAGUGUAGAGGUGAAAUUCGUAGAUAUUCGCAAGAACACCAGUGGCGGAGGCGGCUUACUGGUCCGGUACUGACGCUGAGGUGCGAAAGCGUGGGGAGCGAACAGGAUUAGAUACCCGCGUAGUCCCUGUCUCUUAUAC
Molecule: ribosomal RNA, 301 nt
Filed under: uncultured bacterium
Lineage: Bacteria
Description: partial 16S ribosomal RNA
Rfam family: Bacterial small subunit ribosomal RNA
Source: RNAcentral